This is a long non-coding RNA of Poecilia latipinna (sailfin molly), 1079 nucleotides long. RefSeq lists it as uncharacterized. The transcript has 3 exons. NCBI's taxonomy places the organism in Eukaryota, Metazoa, Chordata, Actinopteri, Cyprinodontiformes, Poeciliidae. The record is from RefSeq and is a predicted model, not a curated record.
GUCAUUUGGACCAGAUGUUCUGAAACAGAGAUAUAUUUAAAAUAUGCAGGGCAGGACAGGAGGACGGGGAUUGAGAAACGCCGCCAUUAAGAUUUUCUCUAUGGCCCAGAGUCACUGGAACGACGUCGCUUGUUGCUAAGCCUCUUAAAGGCAAAAAAUAAAAAUAAAAAAUGAACCAGUUUCAACUCAGGCGACUGCUCUGCUCACCUGAGCUCGAUCCAAGCCCCGUCUCUGCUGGUGGAAGGCAGCUGAACUUUUAAGUGCUGGAAGGAUGAAGACAUGAAAGGGAGAGGAAAAAGCACAGUGGCCAUUAAUGCUGCCGCCUGCCGAUUGACGCACCUGAGGAGAGCAAGACGGCUCCAGAUGGAUCUUCCCUUCAUCGGUUAAGCACAAACAAAGUUAUUGAUGGGCAUAAUUAUCGCUGUUUUUUACAGCCAAAGCUCUGCCUGAUUACCGAUUCAGCACAAGUUAAUGUCUGCCGUCGUUUUGCAGACUUUUAUAUCUUUGCACAAUGAUGAAAUAAAAUGCGUCGUAUUUUUGGGAAGUGGUUCCGAGAGCAGCUGCUGGGAACGGGUAAGAAAUCACUCGAAGUGGAAAUGCAAAGAGUCCAAAACGCUGAGCUGAAGCAGCCGAACUUCUGGAAACUACAGGUUGAUUGUCAGAUUGUCCUGCAGACAUGUAUUUGUGUCGUUCCGCAGUCGGCCGCAGUUACAAUCACAACACAAUGUGUGCGCCACAUAGUAAGAACCUGCGCUCGUACUAUACUAAACACUUGCCGUGUGAUUUUCGCUCGGAGACGGCAGGAAAGUGAUGCAACGUGCCGAGUCUAUUUCGGGAGCGUGUGCUCAUCGCUCAAAUGUCAGCGUGCGGCACCGCAAUGAAGGGGGAGCAGAUUCUGAAGUCUCAUCGUUUUAUUUACCCGAAAUUCUUUGUUUUUAUUAUUAUUGUUUUUUUCUGUUAGGGGUCACAGGGAGGCCGCAGAGGGAGCAGCUGCAGACUCAUUUUUGUUCUGCUACAUUAAGUGGAAAAGAAAAUAAUGUAGUGUCAAAAUUUGUCCAAAUAAAUGUAUAUCUGAAUAG